GAUGAAGAACGUAGUGAAAUGCGAUAAGUAGUGUGAAUUGCAGAAUUCAGUGAAUCAUCGAAUCUUUGAACGCACAUUGCGCCCCUUGGUAUUCCAUGGGGCAUGCCUGUUCGAGCGUCAUUUACACCCUCAAGCUCUGCUUGGUGUUGGGCGUCUGUCCCGCUGCUUUGCGCGGACUCGCCUCAAAGGUAUUGGCAGCGAUCAUGCCAGCUUCUCGCGCAGCACAUUGCGCUUCUUGAAGUUCUGGUGGAUCAGCGUCCAUUAAGCUUACCUUCAUGACUUGACCUCGGAUCAGGUAGGGAUACCCGCUGAACUUAAGCAUAUCAAUAAGCGGAGGA
This 338-nucleotide unclassified non-coding RNA is filed under the name soil metagenome. Its description in RNAcentral is "partial contains 5.8S ribosomal RNA, internal transcribed spacer 2, and large subunit ribosomal RNA". The stretch from base 1 to 120 matches the Rfam family "5.8S ribosomal RNA", at positions 35 to 154 of the family's 154-position model. The record is from RNAcentral.